RNAcentral lists this ribosomal RNA (464 nucleotides) under uncultured bacterium. Its description in RNAcentral is "partial 16S ribosomal RNA". It matches the Rfam family "Bacterial small subunit ribosomal RNA", at positions 29 to 507 of the family's 1533-position model. The record is from RNAcentral.
ACGAACGCUGGCGGCGUGCUUAACACAUGCAAGUCGAACGGAAAGGCCCCUUUGUGGGUCCUCGAGUGGCGAACGGGUGAGUAACACGUGAGUAACCUGCCCUUGACUUCGGGAUAACUUCAGGAAACUGGGGCUAAUACCGGAUAGGAAUCCUUGCUGCAUGGUGGGGGUUGGAAAGCUUCGGCGGUUUUGGAUGGACUCGCGGCUUAUCAGCUUGUUGGUGGGGUAGUGGCUUACCAAGGCUUUGACGGGUAGCCGGCCUGAGAGGGCGACCGGCCACAUUGGGACUGAGAUACGGCCCAGACUCCUACGGGAGGCAGCAGUGGGGAAUAUUGCACAAUGGGCGGAAGCCUGAUGCAGCAACGCCGCGUGCGGGAUGACGGCCUUCGGGUUGUAAACCGCUUUCAGCAGGGGCGAAGCUUGUGGUGACGGUACCUGCAGAAGAAGCACCGGCUAACUACGUG